This 605-nucleotide long non-coding RNA is filed under the name Phasianus colchicus (ring-necked pheasant). RNAcentral describes it as "lncRNA (ENSPCLG00000013951.1)". Lineage: Eukaryota; Metazoa; Chordata; Aves; Galliformes; Phasianidae. The record is from RNAcentral.
GGCCAUUUGGAAGCAUUGGGGACUUUGGGGUCAUUAGGGCCCAUUGGGGCUUUGGGGGCCUUUGGGGGGCAUUGGGGCCAUUUGGAAGCAUUGGGGGCUUUUGGGGCAUUGGGGUUUUUUGGGGGGCUCUGGGUCAUUGGGGCCCUUUGGGAUGAUUGGAGGCUUUGGGGCAUUGGGGCCAUUUGGAAGCAUUGGGGACUUUGGGGGCAUUAGGGCCCAUUGGGGCUUUGGGGGCCUUUGGGGCAUUGGGGUUUUUUGGGGGGCUCUGGGGUCAUUGGGGUCAUUGGAGGCUUUGGGGCUCUUAGGGGCAUUGGGGCCAUUUGGAAGCAUUGGGGGCUUUGGGGGCCUUUGGGGCAUUGGUGUCCCUUGGGGCCCAUUGGGGGCUUUGGGGCUUUUAGGGGCAUUGGGGGCUUUGGGGGCCUUUGGGGCAUUGGUGUCCCUUGGGGCCCAUUAGGGGCUUUGGGGCUUUUAGGGGCAUUAGGGCCAAUUGGGGACUUUGGGGGCAUUAGGGGGCAUUGGGGUUUUUUGGGGGGCUCUGGGUCAUUGGGGCCCUUUGGGGUCAUUGGAGGCUUUGAGGGCAUUAGGGCUCUUAGGGGCAUUGGGGC